CUUUCACACGAACCAAACGUGCCAUUUUUCCCCAUUUACAGACCCCCACUCCACUCUACACUUCCAUGAUUUCAUCCAAUCUCCAUUCCAUUAGCUUCCCUCUCAUACCCCUCCACUCUCUCUCAUCAUUCAGUAAGCUCUCCUCUUGUUUACACACUUUCUCUCUCUAACCAUUUUCCCUCCUCUGUGUGUGGGUGUGGGGCAGCUGGAGCUCCCAAUCGAUAGAAGACAAACUUUCACAUACAUUCCAAAGAGCACAUAAAAGCAAAUAUAGAUAGACACGCUAUGGGGUUCAUGUUCAAGGUGCUCUCGCUCUCUUCGUCCUCUAUCUUUCUCUCUCUCUCUCUCUCUCUUCCCCCUUUGAGGUGCCAUUUGGAAUGAGCAGUGUGCUCUUGAUUCUUGAAUUUACACUGAAACAAGCUCAUAUUAUGCUUUACUUGUUUUGGAUGGAUACAGAGGGAAAAGGUUAGCUUUUUGCUCUUCUGCAAAUCUCCAAUGCUCCAUCUAUUUGUAACCAUGAUCUUCACCAAAACAAAAUUAUUUACUUUAUUGCUAUUUGAUUGGCAAAACCCUGCAUUUCCCUAAAUUUUAUACUGCCCAUUUCUUUCUGUGCUUUUUUUUUUCUUGGUGGAAAAGGAAAGUGUUCAAGACUGUGAUACUCUUUUUAAUAUUUUGUCCUUCUGACUCUCUAUUUUGAAGGAUCUGCCUUUUCAAAGGCCAAGUAAGUUCCUUCCCUCCUUUGCUUUGUUUUAAUGUAAUGAAAUUAGGGAUAUGGAGAUGGAGAUGAGGUGCUUGAAAGAAUUUGUAAACAGAAGAUUGAGAGAUUUGGGGAGUCUAAGUACAGUAAGAUAAAACUAUAGGAGGUUAUUGAUCCCUAUGUUCUUAAAGGUGGAUUUUAUUAUUAUUAUUAUUCUUUUGAAUCCUAGGAUAUGAUAUUGUACUUUGGCAAGUAUAAAAUCUAUUUGUUGAUCCAUACAUUCUGGUUUUUGUUUA
Long non-coding RNA from Amborella trichopoda, 993 nucleotides. RefSeq lists it as uncharacterized. NCBI's taxonomy places the organism in Eukaryota, Viridiplantae, Streptophyta, Magnoliopsida, Amborellales, Amborellaceae. The record is from RefSeq and is a predicted model, not a curated record.